This 59-nucleotide transfer RNA is filed under the name Ricinus communis (castor bean). It matches the Rfam family "tRNA", at positions 8 to 63 of the family's 71-position model. Rfam says of the family: Transfer RNA (tRNA) molecules are approximately 80 nucleotides in length. Their secondary structure includes four short double-helical elements and three loops (D, anti-codon, and T loops). Further hydrogen bonds mediate the characteristic L-shaped molecular structure. tRNAs have two regions of fundamental functional importance: the anti-codon, which is responsible for specific mRNA codon recognition, and the 3' end, to which the tRNAs corresponding amino acid is attached (by aminoacyl-tRNA synthetases). tRNAs cope with the degeneracy of the genetic code in two manners: having more than one tRNA (with a specific anti-codon) for a particular amino acid; and 'wobble' base-pairing, i.e. permitting non-standard base-pairing at the 3rd anti-codon position. The record is from Rfam by way of RNAcentral. Lineage: Eukaryota; Viridiplantae; Streptophyta; Magnoliopsida; Malpighiales; Euphorbiaceae.
UAGCUCAGAGGAUUAGAGCACGUGGCUACAAACCACGAUGUCGGGGGUUUGAAUCCCUC